UACGUAGGGGGCAAGCGUUGUCCGGCAUCAUUGGGCGUAAAGCGCGUGUAGGCGGCCCGGUAAGUCCGCUGUGAAAGUCGGGGGCUCAACCCUCGAAUGCCGGUGGAUACUGUCGGGCUAAAGUGCGGAAGAGGCGAGUGGAAUUCCUGGUGUAGCGGUGAAAUGCGCAGAUAUCAGGAGGAACACCAAUUGCGAAGGCAGCUCGCUGGGACGUGACUGACGCUGAGACGCGAAAGCGUGGGGAGCAAACAGG
This 253-nucleotide ribosomal RNA is filed under the name uncultured bacterium. RNAcentral's name for it is "partial 16S ribosomal RNA". It matches the Rfam family "Bacterial small subunit ribosomal RNA", at positions 524 to 776 of the family's 1533-position model. The record is from RNAcentral.